Molecule: non-coding RNA, 46 nt
Organism: Schistosoma rodhaini
Lineage: Eukaryota; Metazoa; Platyhelminthes; Trematoda; Strigeidida; Schistosomatidae
Source: Rfam
ACACCGCUGACGAGUCCUAUACUAGGACGAAACGACCGUCCAGUAC